UACGGGGGGGGCAAGCGUUGUUCGGAAUUACUGGGCGUAAAGGGUUCGUAGGUGGCCAACUUAGUCAGACGUGAAAUCCCUCAGCUUAACUGGGGAACUGCGUCUGAUACUGGAUGGCUUGAGUGCAGGAGAGGAACGCGGAAUUCCAGGUGUAGCGGUGAAAUGCGUAGAUAUCUGGAGGAAUACCGGUGGCGAAGGCGGCAUCCUGGACCAUUACUGACGCUGAGGCGCGAAAGCUAGGGGAGCAAACGGG
Molecule: ribosomal RNA, 253 nt
Filed under: uncultured bacterium
Lineage: Bacteria
Description: partial 16S ribosomal RNA
Rfam family: Bacterial small subunit ribosomal RNA
Source: RNAcentral